UACGGAGGGUGCAAGCGUUAUCCGGAUUCACUGGGUUUAAAGGGUGCGUAGGUGGGCAGGUAAGUCCGUGGUGAAAUCUCUGAGCUUAACUCAGAAACUGCCGUGGAUACUAUUUGUCUUGAAUGUUGUGGAGGUGAGCGGAAUAUGUCAUGUAGCGGUGAAAUGCUUAGAUAUGACAUAGAACACCAAUUGCGAAGGCAGCUCACUACACAAUUAUUGACGCUGAGGCACGAAAGCGUGGGGGAUCAAAACAGG
Molecule: ribosomal RNA, 255 nt
Filed under: uncultured bacterium
Lineage: Bacteria
Description: partial 16S ribosomal RNA
Rfam family: Bacterial small subunit ribosomal RNA
Source: RNAcentral